Molecule: long non-coding RNA, 1171 nt
Filed under: Triticum aestivum (bread wheat)
Lineage: Eukaryota; Viridiplantae; Streptophyta; Magnoliopsida; Poales; Poaceae
Description: long non-coding RNA (TAES_LNC004150)
Source: RNAcentral
ACUCGUCUCAUUGUGGUCAGUGUUACUGAAGAUCCUACCUAGUGGUGUUCAUUGACUACAUUAUAACCACUGUUAGUUAUACACCACACACUGUUCGCAUUGGAGUUCCCUGACAUCCCCUGAUGCACCCAUGAGAUAUCCCUUCUUUAUUUCGAAAAUUUGAGGUCUUCUUCCUUGCGCUCACCGAGUAAUGGCUUUGGUUCUGCGUGACAUGCAGGGCCACCUCGCCCACCACGUCCAUCAGGGAAUGGGGAGGGAAUGCGAGGACUACCGCGCGCACAUCAACAGAGGGCACGGCAGGGAAGAAGGACUUGUUGGUGCAGGUGCAGCGGGGCGACGGGAAGUGGCUAUCCAUCAGGGAGCCACCGCUGAGAAGGAUGCAGCCAGCCUAUGAUGUAUUGACGCGGCUGAAGUGCAGCACCAAGUCUUUUGCCGGUGCUGUUGUCAUCUCUCUGUCUGUAUUUUGUACAGUAUUAUGCAAAAAAGGAAGAACAGAAAGGAUAGAGUGGUAUACAUGUUUGGAAUUUGUUUCAAGCUUUUUUGGAUGGUUGUAGAUCAGAUGUGCUAGCUAGGCACGUCAUUUAGCUUGGUUUGAAACUCUAGACAGAUUAAUUCGUGCUAAUAAGAUUGAGGUUUGGUUCAUGAGCGUAUGAUAAAAGGUUUUUAAUGGGAAAUUAUAAUCAAAUUUAUGACCAAAGGAGUUGGUGACUUUGUGCUUUCUCUGUGUACGGAUUACCCUACAUGAGCCCUCUGUUUCUCUGUCCCUGUAAUAACUGUCAGUUUGCGAAACUAUACAAAACCUAAGGUAGGUAUAGUUAACCAAGUGGCAUUGCAAAACUUCCAGAUACUCCUGUUGUGCAGAUUUUGUUUGGCUAGUGUGGCGCAAUUGAUACUCCUGUUGUGCAGAUUUUGUUUGGCUAGUGUGGCGCAAUUGCCAGUUCAAACCUUCUCAUCAUGCUCAAAUAUUGUAAGCAUGAUUCCUACUUUUUCCUGGGACACACAUGACUCUGAAUAAACAGUGAAGUAAAACAAACACUCCACACUAUAUACAUACAUCCUCCAUCCCAAAGCUUCAAUCUGUAUGUUUUUCUCCAGUUUGUUUCUUUUUUUCCUCAUCUUCCAUUCUCUGAUUAUACAUUUUCCAACACUGGACCACAAGAGUCUAGGCAGG